RNAcentral lists this ribosomal RNA (464 nucleotides) under uncultured bacterium. Its description in RNAcentral is "bacterial SSU rRNA". It matches the Rfam family "Bacterial small subunit ribosomal RNA", at positions 28 to 493 of the family's 1533-position model. The record is from RNAcentral.
GAUGAACGCUGGCGGCGUGCUUAACACAUGCAAGUCGAGCGAAGCACUAAAGCGGAUUUCUUCGGAUUGAAGGUUUAGUGACUGAGCGGCGGACGGGUGAGUAACGCGUGGGUAACCUGCCUCAUACAGGGGGAUAACAGUUGGAAACGGCUGCUAAUACCGCAUAAGCGCACAGUACCGCAUGGUACGGUGUGAAAAACUCCGGUGGUAUGAGAUGGACCCGCGUCUGAUUAGGUAGUUGGUGGGGUAACGGCCUACCAAGCCGACGAUCAGUAGCCGACCUGAGAGGGUGACCGGCCACAUUGGGACUGAGACACGGCCCAAACUCCUACGGGAGGCAGCAGUGGGGAAUAUUGCACAAUGGGGGAAACCCUGAUGCAGCGACGCCGCGUGAGCGAAGGAGUAUUUCAGUAUGUAAAGCUCUAUCAGCAGGGAAGAAAAUGACGGUACCKACUAAGAGCCCU